GAGAUUAACAGAUCGGCAUCGAUGGUGUUCUCUCCGAUGCGUCGUUCAUCGCCGUCGUCGUCACCGGAGCUAUAGGGAAUUCUUAAUAUGCAAAAAGUGAUUACGUUGUUGACUGAAUUGUGUUUCGGUGUCGCAGCUACUAGGAAUAUUGUAUUUGCCUUUAUAUAAAACUUGAUUAUGAAGAAAAUUCAUCUCUCCAUAUUUGCAGACUAACCAAACUUUCCAGAUACAAGAAUACAAGGUGAUGUUUUUAAGGUGAUUUGAGAUUUGAACCUGGCAACUUUGUCACCCGAUUGUUUCUUCAUCCAAUCCCAAAUAUAUCUUCAUUCUUGUUUGUUACUGAACUAAAAAAGAAUUUUAGUCAACUGUUGCGU
This 374-nucleotide long non-coding RNA is filed under the name Helianthus annuus (common sunflower). RNAcentral's name for it is "hypothetical non coding rna". Lineage: Eukaryota; Viridiplantae; Streptophyta; Magnoliopsida; Asterales; Asteraceae. The record is from RNAcentral.